RNAcentral lists this small RNA (134 nucleotides) under Arabidopsis thaliana (thale cress). RNAcentral describes it as "ATSL242970". Lineage: Eukaryota; Viridiplantae; Streptophyta; Magnoliopsida; Brassicales; Brassicaceae. The record is from RNAcentral.
CGUUCAUCUGUAGAAAGGCUUGAAAGCUGUGUGCGGAUUGUGGAAGAGGAGGCGAUAUUUUUCAAUCGUCGCUCGUUUGGGAAAGUCCUCACAUCUUAGAUGAACUCCAAUCGCUUCGAGAAACUCUAAUUCCU